AAACUAUGGUGGGGGCAUCUACGCAACAAAGACUUGAAUCUCUCCCAUGUUUCAUAGAAAGGUUCAUUAGACCCUUGGGAAAAAGUUGCAAUGGCUGAUUUU
Non-coding RNA from Glycine soja, 102 nucleotides. The record is from Rfam. Lineage: Eukaryota; Viridiplantae; Streptophyta; Magnoliopsida; Fabales; Fabaceae.